GUGUUUUUGUGUGGAAACAUUUGUCAUUGUGUAAGCAUCACUUACAAAAAGAGCUACAUAUUAAAUUCUCACAAACUUGUCACUCAAACACAAACCGAUACAAACUAAGACAUGUUUCCCUGUCCCUCAACUCUGUGGCUAAGGGAAAUUCCUGCUUCCUUCACCAGACCAGUAAUGCAUAUCAUUACCCUUAACAGAAGCACCUCCUCGCCUUUUGACAAGAGGGCAACGAACAAGUGUUUUCAGCUAAGUACAGUCAAUAAAUAUCAAAAUGAAGUUGAAAGAAAACAAGCAGAGGAUAACACUGUAGACUAUUUAGCCACACCCCAAAUGUUCUGCAGGCUUUCUUAUGGGAAGUGAGGGAGGGGAGGACAGUUCAGACUCAGCUCUGUUGAAUCACUCUGAGUGGGCGUGAGCCUAACUCCCACUAUUUCCUUGUUACUGGGAAGUGACUGCUUGACUUAUCGUACAGAGAUACAAGAGAAUAACAGGAGGGGGUGAGAUAGAGGUGGGGGCUAAUGUGGAGAGGGUGGUAUUUAAGUCAGCAAUGAUCAGUUACUGGGACCACCGAGACACGGGAUCGGGCUGGAUCAUACAGGUGGAUAUCAGUGGAGGCUGGUGGAGCACUGAAAAAUUAUUUCAGACAUUCUCAGCAAUGUUUUAUAUGGCCAGUGUCAGAUGCCGAAAAGGGAGCUAUAUUUUUUGGUUAAUGACCAGGUACAUUUAGUUUUUUGAAUUAGCCAACACAUUGUUUUUUGGAAAAUAAUGCAGGAUUUUGGAGAGGUAGGCCCUGCCUAAGCAAUGGGACAUUGUCCAGAAUUUUUCUAUCCAUCACCACAGAAGACUCCCUUUCCUCCCCGCCAACUGCCGUUACAGAAGUUGUGAAACACUUCCAGGAAUCUUGUCUGCUGCAAAUGGAUCCUUUAGCAAGGUACACAGGCUGCAGCAGCACCCACCUUCCAUGCAGUAUUGGCUAAAUCAAAAGCUGAAGUGGAAUUGUGGAAGCUGAAGGCACACAACCUGCAGGAAAAAGUGCAAGACCUUACAAAUGAGAGAGAUUUUCUGAGAGCUCAGGUGGCAGGCACAAGGCAGUGGUCGUCUUGGAGGUGUGUUUUCUAAGAAGGGGAGGAAAGAAAAGAAGAGAGAGAAGAAAUUUAGGAAGGGAAAAGAUGCUGGGUCAAGCUGACAAAGGGGUAUAUCAAAGGUUAAAAAAAAGUUAUAUGCAAGCCAUACACAUUUUAAAACGUAAACUUUUUUAACAACUCCCUCUCUUGUUUCAGUUGGCAGCCCUGCAGAGGUUGUGGCAAGAUACAAAAAUGUUCUGAACAUUUUUUGUAAGGGAAAAAGCAUGUCAGGUGCAUUUAAAAAGUAUGGCCAAUAAAAAGAGAAGAUUAAGAUGGGCAAAAGAACUCAGACACAGGACAGAGGAAGAUUGGAAAAAUGUGUUAUGGACAGACAAAUCUAAGUUUGAGAGUUCAGAUCACAAAGAAGAACAUUUGUGAGACACAGACCAAAUGAAAAGAUGUUGGAAGCUUGCUUGACACCAUAUUAAUGUGUAUUAACACACACCAAUGAUAAUUAGCAUCAAUUAAGAUUUGGAUUGCAUUAUAUUAAUGUAUUGAUUGAUUUUUUUUUAACAUGUCCUUUAUUAGUUACCUAUUCACUUGGUAACAUGUUUGUUGACACAACCACACACAUUAAUUAACUACUAGUUUACACUAUGUUUUAAUGUAUUAGUUAAUGUUUCUUGAUAUGUGUGCCAACAGUUAACUAAUAGUUAAUAUGCUUAUUAACACAUGCGCACAUAAUCAAGGCUUUAUAGAUGCAUUAAUAAGUCAUCAAUCCAUGUCAAUUAAUGCAUUUAAUAAUGAUUGUUAUUGUAUCCUUAUUAUAAAGUGUUACCAAAUAAGGUAUAAAUAAUGAAUGGUUUAGUUAUAUUUAUUUUACUCCAAGAGAUUGCAUACUGUAGUCAAACAUCUCUGACUAAAUCAAAUAAAAAUUUGUGUUUUUUUAUGUUUUGUUUGAAUAUUGAAUAAAUCUACACUGUUGCAUUGUGAGCUGUAGAUUU
This is a long non-coding RNA of Esox lucius (northern pike), 2068 nucleotides long. The record is from Ensembl. NCBI's taxonomy places the organism in Eukaryota, Metazoa, Chordata, Actinopteri, Esociformes, Esocidae.